This 255-nucleotide ribosomal RNA is filed under the name uncultured bacterium. RNAcentral's name for it is "partial 16S ribosomal RNA". It matches the Rfam family "Bacterial small subunit ribosomal RNA", at positions 521 to 776 of the family's 1533-position model. The record is from RNAcentral.
UAAUACGUAGGUGGCGAGCGUUGUCCGGAAUUAUUGGGCGUAAAGCGCGCGCAGGUGGGAUCUUAAGUCUGUUCUGAAAGUUCGGAGCUUAACUCCGUGAUGGGAUGGAAACUGGGAUUCUUGAGUAUCGGAGAGGAAAGCGGAAUUCCCCGUGUAGCGGUGAAAUGCGUAGAUAUGGGGAGGAACACCAGUGGCGAAGGCGGCUUUCUGGACGAUGUCUGACACUGAGGCGCGAAAGCCAGGGGAGCGAACGGG